GCCCUCGUAGCUCAGCGGAUCAGAGCGGACGGUUCCUAUCCGUCAGGUCGCAGGUUCGAAUCCUGUCGAGGGUACGA
RNAcentral lists this transfer RNA (77 nucleotides) under Bifidobacterium animalis subsp. animalis MCC 0499. RNAcentral's name for it is "tRNA-Arg". It matches the Rfam family "tRNA". Rfam says of the family: Transfer RNA (tRNA) molecules are approximately 80 nucleotides in length. Their secondary structure includes four short double-helical elements and three loops (D, anti-codon, and T loops). The record is from RNAcentral. Lineage: Bacteria; Bacillati; Actinomycetota; Actinomycetes; Bifidobacteriales; Bifidobacteriaceae.